UCAGGCUGAGAGAUGAAAAACAAACACCUGAAAAUUAUGACUCUUGCCACCUAAACUGCAAUAGAGACCUUGUUUUAUCAAUGCGUGCGUGCAUAUAUUUUGUUCUGACUUAUAAAUCAAUUCAUGUUCAAUUAACCUUUUUCCUUUAUAAAUCGAAGGAUUUAUUUGAAGUAGUUUGAUAUCUUGAUAUCUUGUUAUGAUCGUCCAUUCAAUUUCUGAAGCUGUAUGAUAUCUGAUUCUUUUGUUAUUUCAACUCUUGUUUGGGUUGUUGUUGGAUCAAAUGAUGUUAAGAGUAUUUAUUGAUCUGCAUAUAUAGUGAAGUGAACCACUCAGGUGAGUAACUAUUAUAGUGAAGUGAACCACUCAGUGUGUAACUAUUUUUCGUGAUAUUAUGAUGUACAUACAAGAUAUCCUUCUAUAUUCAAGAUAUCCUUCUAUAAGAUAUCUUCUACAUGCAUACAAGAUAUCCUUCUAUAAUAAUUUAUACACAUAUUCACGCUACCUAGUUCGGAUUAACAUUCAAAUGUUAACUUAAUUUGUAUCAAAGGCUAAAUACUAUUAAUUUUUAAAUUCAAAUUCAAAUUAUCAAUACUUAGUUGUUGGAAGAAAUGUAAUGUAGUGAGGAAAUUGAAGUAUUGUACCUCUUAUCUUUAUGUUCUUCCACGUUUUUUAAGGUUGUAGAAAUGGUUGUAGCUCUCAUCAUAACUUCUAAACCAUUGAAAACGUUAAGUUUUAUUUCAUGACAAUUGGUAAUAUGUUCAUCAAGUAACUAUAAAAAAAUAGGGUAGAAUUACUCUUGUCAUCCUAUAAUUUUAUUUCAGAUAACGAGUUCGUUCUUUAUUUUUUUUCCACGGCACUUUUUUCAUUUUAAUCAAUUUGCUUAUGGAUUUUUAAGAUUCAAAACUAUGGUUUUAUUUUGAUAUGAACUCAUAGUAUUCAAAUCUAUGGUCUUUCACUCACAUUUUCAUAUGAAUUUUAAAUUGAUGCUUGAAAGUCUGUAUGCAAAUGGAUCAAAAUGACUAAAAUGACGUGAAAAAAAAUUUACAAAAUCAUUAUUUAAAAUUAAAUUAAAGGACGACAAAUAUAAUUUUACUAUAAUUAUCUUUAUAAUCUCGCAUUCAAUUUUGUUUAUUUAAACGUGUUCAAUUUUUUAAAAUAUAAAAAUUAUUCUACUCUUAAAUUUGUAAACAUGUGCAUUUAGAUUACUCUUUUUUUUUUUUUUAAAUAUUAACAAGUAUCUUAAUGAUAUUGUUUAAACAUUAAUUUUUACAUUAAAAAUUAUGUAGUUAUAAUUUUUACAUUUGUUUGAUCUGUAUUUUUAUGACAAAAUUCAUUUUCGUGAGUUCAUUAAAUAAUGUAUUUAGAACACUUUUUGGGGUCGUCAACUUCAAUGUAUAAUGACAGAUAAAAUUCAAAGUUUUGUUUUUAUUUUUCCUUGAUUAAUGUGAAAUGUUCUUUUUGGGUCUUUGAAGGUGGAUCAAUGCAUGGCUCGGCUUCAAGAACUUCAGAACACCGCAACUGGUGGAAACAAGGUUGUGUCAGGGGUCAACCUUAGCCCACGAAGUACCAUAGGUUAUCUCAAAACUAGUCUCAGGUGCAAGCAAGAAUCACUAAGGUACUUUUUUCUUUGCUUCAUGACUCACGAUUCAUGACUAUAUUUUAGUUUAAUUUUUAUUUACUUUUUUACUAAUUUUUGUGUUUUGUUACCAUGCUGAAGGGUCAAGAAUGGUGCCACGAGGAAAUCUCCUGUGGGGAAGUUUCCCUCUACACCAAAGACAGGUUAGUUUGUCUUGCAAAACCAAAUUAAAUUUACUUACAAAUAUGUCUUCACUCGGACAUUAUUUAACAUUUGUAACGACAGUAUUUUGUGUAUAUUAUAUAUAAUAUGUCCAUUUUAUUUUACUAAUGAAGCAAUAGUUAUAUAAUUUUUAUUUAUUCAUUGGUAAAUUAGGAAUAGGGACUUGACCGACUUAAAUGCUUCUUGCUACACUGUUAUUCUUAAUUAAUUUUGGGACUAUCAGUAAGUUAUGAUAUUAGAAAUGUCUAGAACAAGAAAUAGGAAAACUUUAUUGUCUUUAAAUUCUCUUAAUUCCUUUUUCUAGGCAAAGUUUAUGUAUAUUUCCUUUUGGUGUGCCACGACUAGGUGGAAGAAGUUUAAUGAAAUUGUUGCACCUCUAUUUUAAUAAUUAAUUUAUUGUUUAGUUUUGACUUAAUUUACAUUAUUUUAUUUAUUCGAUGAUUUAUAUUAUGCGAUGAUCUAUAUUUAACCAAGAUACAUGAGAACUUAAUUAGAAUAAUUCUUUUGAUUUCUUCCUCAUAAUAGCAUUGGACCAACUUAACUACCAUGUGUUUACUUUCGGUACACAGUGAUGCUAGUUAAUUGGCAUUAAAUUCUUUUAUAAUUUCUUGAGGUCUUAUCAUAAUUCUUUUAUAACCAUUCCUCUUUUCAUUCCCAAAGUGUUUUCACGCCUCCACACCAUACUCACCUUAUUCAUAAACAAACAACUUUUUCGGUUCUUCUUACUCUGAACUCUUGCAGGAUCAAAGUGAAGUUUUGGAUUCUCAAUCUCUUGAUUUAUAUAAUAUAUUUCCACCGAUCUUAGAGUCUUCUUCCAUGUUAAGGAGGUAAGGGCUUUUUCCCCAUACGUUCGUGUUAGGAAUAAGUUUAUGUUAUGAAAUAAAUAUUAGAAUAUUUAACCAUUAAAAAGGUAAUGUUAUGCAUUGUGUUUGAGUUGUUCUUUGAUGUAUGUGUGUGAUUGACUAUGAUUGAGAGUUUCUGUGAUUUAUGGGUGUGAUUGAUUGUGAAAUGGAAUAGUGUGUUAGUUUUGAUCCAAGUACUCUAGCACAAUAAAUUAUUGUUAGUUAGUUUUGAAGAUAUGUAUCAUAUAUUUGAGACAUGCAUCAUGUAGUAUGCAUGGUAGGUGCCUCCGUGGCUGAAUGGUGCCUCCGUGGCUGAACUUUGCCUUCGUGGCUGAAUUGUGCCUUCGUGGCUGAAUUUAUCCGGAUCAUGAGUCUGCAUUUUCAUGCAUAAAAAGCAUUCUUUUUGUUAAGAGAAUUUAUUAUAUAGAAUUUUAUUUAAGCAUUCUGUUUGUGUUAUUUGGCAACUCUUUAAUUAGUUAAUGACAAGACUUUCCUAUUCACUUGGGAACCCUUAUGUUUAUACAGGUGAAUGGAGGCGAAUGUCGUUGCCUGCAAUGCUUGUAGGAGAAACUCUUGGAGAAAUUUUACAGGCUAGUCAAUUUGCAAGAGAAAUUGUUUCAACUGUUGGUGACAAAACUCCCUCCAAAGAGGACCCAAAAACUCCAAUGUCUCAAAGGCCAAGCAAGAAAAUAAACCUUGAAAACACACAACUUAAGUCUAGAAGGAAGAAGGAGAAAUAAACCAAACUACAAAAUGAUGGUUCUCCUUCACUUCAAAGAGCUCGUUCCAGAAUCACUUUCAAAGUUUCUCCUCCAAAAGUUAGAGAAUUUAAUACAGAAAAUAACAAGUAUUUGUCUUAGGCGAAUAGGGUAUCUCCAAGGAAUAGGACAUGGGCUAAAAAAACUAUACUUUUCCCCAACCCUUUGUUCAAGUCAACUCAUUGUUCUUCAUCACGGUCAUAGCAGCAACAGUUUUGCAAAACAAGGUCUUCUUUUAUUUCAAGAAAUAGAGGACCAACAACACCACACAAGUUUUUGAUCAAAUUUCCACCUUCAAACUCUAAAGUUAAGAUCAAAAGCACAACAAUUGUGUCUAUUUCACCCACAAGACUUGCAAGUUUGAGUAAGAAUUCGCCAAAGAGAUCGACUGCUGCUAAAUUCCGUCGAUCUUUCUCUCCUUCGAGACUAGCUACCAGAUUAGUUUCACCAUUAAGGAGUAAGAAAACUGCCCAGAAAAGUGAUGGGAUUGUAAGUGGACUGAAACAGCACCCAGUAUCAACAAUUCAAUUCCCUGCUAAUAGAAGAAUUUAAGGACAUAUAGACUUUGAUUGUAUUUUGUCGCUAUGGUUUCCAAUGUCCAUAAUUGUUGUAUUCUUGUGAGAUUUUUUUGUUGUUGAGGACUUCUCCUUGUGUCCAUAACAUUCUUUCUUCUGUAAUAUGUUCAACAAAAAAUAUAAAGGUGUUUCUCUGAUGCAAAUCUUGUGAGCUUGCAAUGUUACCAAAUCAUAAGCAUACAUUUCAUUUGUCACAUAAACUCUAUGGACUUCAUCUCUCAAAAAAAAAAAAAAAAAAUCGAUGGAUUGCAAUUAAAAUGGUACUUUCUGCAAUAUGUAUUCUUUCACCAUACACCAUGUAUUUUUUAUUGAAAAAAAACAAUGAUAUUUUGUUGCUGCCCAGGAUCGAACUGGAGACCUUUAGUGUGUAAGACUAACGUGAUAACCACUACACCACAGCAACUUUGAUGAUAAUUUAUCCACUAUGAUAGUUUGUGACUCUUGAUCUUUUAAUUUAACUUUAUAUAUUUACAGUAUAAUGUUUUCAUUGAAGUUAUAUAGAUUAAUUAUUAUCAACAAUAUGCAUUUUUCGUCCCUUUAUUCUUGAUUUUAAUUGCCCAAUUUUUAUCUACAGUUUAAAAAUUUUAAUUAAUUAAUUAUUUUGACCAUCUAAUUUGAUGAUGUGGUAAUACAAAUUCACUCUCAACUAUUUAUCAUUUCAAUUUAUCUUCUUUUAACUUUAUAUGUUUGAUCAUGACUGAAUUUAACAUUGAAGAAUUUCAUCAAUAUUGAAGAAUCACAAUGAAAAUUCUAUCAAAUUUCUUUUUGGUACAGUUCAAAUUUUAAUAAAUUGUCGAGAAAGCAAUAUUUUUUUUUAAUAAUAAUAGUAAUAUUCAAAGAAAAUGUAAUAAUGAUUCAAAAUAUCUAAUGCCCAUUUUAUCAAAAGAAAAAAGAAAAUCUAUAUCCACGCGUAUAAGAUUCGUGGAUUAAUUUGGUCCGAAGGUGUAAAGGUUCAUCUUCUGAAUGGGUUGUUGUUGUGAUGAAGACGACGGUGACAUUCUCCGCCAUCUCAUGAAUUCUUCUUCAUCCACCUCAUCCCCACCACCACCACCUCCUCCCACUUCAACAAUAAUCUCACCAAUGAAUUCUCAUUUCUCCGCUUUAUCCUCCACCGAUACUCUCCAAAUUAUCUUCCAGAACCUUCCCAUCCCCGAUCUCGCACGUGCGAGCUGCGUGUGCCGUGUCUGGAACUCGGUUGCCUCACAAAGAGACCUGGUAACCAGAGCUUUCUUAGCACCGUGGAAAUUGAAGGACGUAGUUGGAAACCCGAUUUCUAGAAGCUUCUGGAGAGAUAAUUCGCUUGCCAAAUUUGCAAUCUCGCAUCGUAUUGUGCGUGGGGAUAGUGUUGCUAGUCUCGCCGUUAAGUACUCCGUUCAGGUCCGUUAGGGUUUUUUACUUUGUUUCAGAAAUUGAAAUGCAUAAUUUGUUGUUGUUGUUGUUGUUGUUAUUGAUAAUACACUAUGCGCCGGCUUGUGCUUUUGAAAAUGAUGACAAUGAAAUUAUGGAAUCAUCUCUGAAAUUCAAGAUUACGUUUGAAUAUAGUUCAUAUGAGAUAAUUUUAUGUAUAAAGCACCGAGACACGGACACCAGACACUACACUGAUACAGAUACAUCGUGAUGAUUUGAGAAAAUGAAUUAUGAAGCACAAAUACGGACAUGUCAAGGACACUGACACACCAACACCGCUAAUAAUCUGAGAAAAUCACAUAAUUCAGAGUAAUUAUAUGUGUUGGCGUUGUGUCAGUGUCGGACACGACCCGCGUCUGACACUGGGACACACCUAAUGCAAGAGUGUCCGUGCUUCAUAGAUUGAUGCGUCAAAAAGUAGACAUGCCUAAUCUUAGAGGUUUCUGUGCCUUACAGUCAGGACUAAAUUAAUCGUUCCUUGUUGACUACUGUGAUCAAAUAUUUUAGGGAUAUCAUUUUAAAAUGUUUUUAAUUUCAUGGACCAAAUUUCCUUAUCACUGGAAUAUCAGGUUUUAGGAUUAAAAUUGUGAUAAGCUCAAAUCAAAUUGUUAACAUCUACUUGUUUUGUAUAAUUUAGCAUUUUUCCUAUUAAGAAUUUAUAAACUAGUUGAUCUUUUAUCUGACCAUUUUUACUGUAAGCACUGAGCUAUAUUUUCAUUGUUCUGUUCCUGGUUUUUAUGUUUAAUGGUUUUGAUAAAGUUGGAUGAUAAUUUUUUUGAUGUUUUGACAGGUGAUGGACAUAAAACGAUUGAACAACAUGAUGAGCGAUCAUGGUAUAUACUCAAGGGAAAGGUUAUUAAUUCCUAUUAGUAAUCCUAAUAUUCUUGUUAAAAGAACUUGCUUUAUUGAGCUGGAUGACAAUGCAAAACGAGAAGUUGCAGUGUUGUAUCCGGAUGAUGUACCUGACAUAAAGAGUAGCUAUGUAUCAAACAGAAUAUCCUCAGAAGAAAGCAACAAAAAGGUGCUUGAUUCCUUGAAGAGAAGCAUGCAAGUUGAUAGUGAAACUGCUCAAUACUACUGGUCUGUUUCAAAUGGCGAUCCUCGAGCUGCU
Molecule: long non-coding RNA, 6491 nt
Filed under: Medicago truncatula (barrel medic)
Lineage: Eukaryota; Viridiplantae; Streptophyta; Magnoliopsida; Fabales; Fabaceae
Description: long non-coding RNA (MTRU_LNC006057)
Source: RNAcentral